AUUGAACGCUGGCGGAAUGCUUUACACAUGCAAGUCGAACGGCAGCACGGGUGCUUGCACCUGGUGGCGAGUGGCGAACGGGUGAGUAAUGCACCGGAGCGUAUCCAAUAAUGGGGGAUAACGCACCGAAAGGUGUGCUAAUACCGCAUACGCCCUGAGGGGGAAAGCGGGGGAUCGUAAGACCUCGCGUUAAUGGAGCGGCCGAUGCCGGAUUAGCUAGUUGGUGAGGUAAAGGCUCACCAAGGCGACGAUCCGUAGCUGGUCUGAGAGGACGACCAGCCACACUGGAACUGAGACACGGUCCAGACUCCUACGGGAGGCAGCAGUGGGGAAUUUUGGACAAUGGGCGCAAGCCUGAUCCAGCCAUUCCGCGUGAGUGAAGAAGGCUCGGUUGUAAG
This 398-nucleotide ribosomal RNA is filed under the name uncultured bacterium. RNAcentral describes it as "bacterial SSU rRNA". It matches the Rfam family "Bacterial small subunit ribosomal RNA", at positions 30 to 429 of the family's 1533-position model. The record is from RNAcentral.